ACUCCUACGGGAGGCAGCAGUGGGGAAUAUUGCACAAUGGGGAAACCCUGAUGCAGCAACGCCGCGUGAGCGAUGAAGGCCUCGGUCGUAAGACUCUGUCCUCAAGGAAGAAUAAAUAGACGGUACUUGAGGAGGAAGCCCGGCCUAACUACGUGCCAGCAGCCGCGGUAAUACGUAGGGGCGAAGCGUUAUCCGGAAUCACUGGGCGUAAAGGGUGCGUAGGCGGUUUUCUAAGUCAGAAGUGAAAGGCUAUGGCUCAACCAUAGUAAGCUUUUGAAACUGUUAAACUUGAGUGCAGGAGAGGAAAGUGGAAUUCCUAGUGUAGAGGUGAAAUUCGUAGAUAUUAGGAGGAACACCAGUGGCGAAGGCGACUUUCUGGACUGUAACUGACGCUGAGGCACGAAAGCGUGGGGAGCGGAACAGGAUUAGAUACCCUGGUAGCACAGAG
Molecule: ribosomal RNA, 448 nt
Filed under: uncultured bacterium
Lineage: Bacteria
Description: bacterial SSU rRNA
Rfam family: Bacterial small subunit ribosomal RNA
Source: RNAcentral